RNAcentral lists this ribosomal RNA (376 nucleotides) under uncultured bacterium. RNAcentral describes it as "bacterial SSU rRNA". It matches the Rfam family "Bacterial small subunit ribosomal RNA", at positions 524 to 898 of the family's 1533-position model. The record is from RNAcentral.
UACGUAGGGGGCGAGCGUUGUCCGGAAUUAUUGGGCGUAAAGCGCGCGCAGGCGGCUCCUUAAGUCUGGUGUGAAAGCCCGCGGCUCAACCGCGGAGGGUCAUUGGAAACUGGGGAGCUUGAGUGCAGGAGAGGAGAGUGGAAUUCCACGUGUAGCGGUGAAAUGCGUAGAGAUGUGGAGGAACACCGGUGGCGAAAGCGGCUCUCUGGCCUGUAACUGACGCUGAGGCGCGAAAGCGUGGGGAGCAAACAGGAUUAGAUACCCUGGUAGUCCACGCCGUAAACGAUGAGUGCUAGGUGUUAGGGGGGUCCAACCCCUUAGUGCUGAAGUUAACACAUUAAGCACUCCGCCUGGGGAGUACGACCGCAAGGUUGAA